GGCGAGAUGGCCGAGCGGUCUAAGGCGCCAGACUAAGGAGACCAAGUCAUUAGAUGACUACUCAAAGCUUCACGGCUGCGAUAUCUGGUCCGAAAGGGCGUGGGUUCGAAUCCCACUCUCGUCA
RNAcentral lists this transfer RNA (124 nucleotides) under Athelia sp. TMB. It matches the Rfam family "tRNA". Rfam says of the family: Transfer RNA (tRNA) molecules are approximately 80 nucleotides in length. Their secondary structure includes four short double-helical elements and three loops (D, anti-codon, and T loops). The record is from Rfam by way of RNAcentral. Lineage: Eukaryota; Fungi; Basidiomycota; Agaricomycetes; Atheliales; Atheliaceae.